AUUGAACGCUGGCGGCAUGCCUUACACAUGCAAGUCGAACGGCAGCACGGGAGCAAUCCUGGUGGCGAGUGGCGAACGGGUGAGUAAUAUAUCGGAACGUGCCCAGUCGUGGGGGAUAACGUAGCGAAAGCUACGCUAAUACCGCAUACGAUCUAUGGAUGAAAGCGGGGGAUCGCAAGACCUCGCGCGAUUGGAGCGGCCGAUAUCAGAUUAGGUAGUUGGUGAGGUAAAGGCUCACCAAGCCGACGAUCUGUAGCUGGUCUGAGAGGACGACCAGCCACACUGGGACUGAGACACGGCCCAGACUCCUACGGAGGCAGCAGUGGGGGAAUUUUUGGACAAUGGGCGCAAGCCUGAUCCAGCAAUGCCGCGUGCAGGAUGAAGGCCUCGGUUGUAACU
RNAcentral lists this ribosomal RNA (399 nucleotides) under uncultured bacterium. RNAcentral describes it as "bacterial SSU rRNA". It matches the Rfam family "Bacterial small subunit ribosomal RNA", at positions 30 to 431 of the family's 1533-position model. The record is from RNAcentral.